UCCGGAGGGUGCGAUCGUUAAUCGGAAUUACUGGGCGUAAAGCGUCCGUAGGCGGCUUGUUAAGUCUGAUGUGAAAGCCCUGGGCUUAACCUGGGAACGGCAUUGGAUACUGGCGAGCUAGAGUUCGGUAGAGGGUGGUGGAAUUCCCGGUGUAGCGGUGAAAUGCGUAGAGAUCGGGAGGAACACCGGUGGCGAAGGCGGCCACCUGGACCGAGACUGACGCUGAGGGACGAAAGCGUGGGGAGAAAACAGG
RNAcentral lists this ribosomal RNA (253 nucleotides) under uncultured bacterium. RNAcentral describes it as "partial 16S ribosomal RNA". It matches the Rfam family "Bacterial small subunit ribosomal RNA", at positions 524 to 776 of the family's 1533-position model. The record is from RNAcentral.